This is a non-coding RNA of Apaloderma vittatum (bar-tailed trogon), 73 nucleotides long. The record is from Rfam. Lineage: Eukaryota; Metazoa; Chordata; Aves; Trogoniformes; Trogonidae.
GGCCAGUUAGCUCAGUCAGUAGAGCGUGGUGCUAACAACGCUAAGGUCGCAGGUUCGAUUCCCAUUCAGUCCC